AUUGAACGCUGGCUGCAGGCUUAACACAUGCAAGUCGAGCGGGGUGAUGGUGCUUGCACUAUCACUUAGCGGCGGACGGGUGAGUAAUGCUUAGGAAUCUGCCUAUUAGUGGGGGACAACAUCUCGAAAGGGAUGCUAAUACCGCAUACGUCAUACGGGAGAAAGCAGGGGAUCACUUGUGACAUGGCGCUAAUAGAUGAGCUUAAGUCGGAUUAGCUAGUUGGUGGGGUAAAGGCCUACCAAGGCGACGAUCUGUAGCGGGUCUGAGAGGAUGAUCCGCCACACUGGGACUGAGACACGGCCCAGACUCCUACGGGAGGCAGCAGUGGGGAAUAUUGGACAAUGGGGGGAACCCUGAUCCAGCCAUGCCGCGUGUGUGAAGAAGGCCUUAUGGUUGUAAAGCACUUUAAGCGAGGAGGAGGCUCUUUUGGUUAAUACCCAAGAUGAGUGGACGUUACUCGCAGAAUAAGCACCGGCUAACUCUGUGCCAGCCGCCGCAGUAA
This 503-nucleotide ribosomal RNA is filed under the name uncultured bacterium. RNAcentral describes it as "partial 16S ribosomal RNA". It matches the Rfam family "Bacterial small subunit ribosomal RNA", at positions 30 to 523 of the family's 1533-position model. The record is from RNAcentral.